Long non-coding RNA from Panicum hallii, 246 nucleotides. RefSeq lists it as uncharacterized. The transcript is spliced from 3 exons. The record is from RefSeq and is a predicted model, not a curated record. Lineage: Eukaryota; Viridiplantae; Streptophyta; Magnoliopsida; Poales; Poaceae.
CGGAUAACCUCACAGACCACGCGCCCACCGUCCAGACCGAGCGUAAUGCCGGCGUCCCCGACGAGGCGACGACCAGACAGGGGAGUUCGCGCUGUAAGUGUGGGGGCCGCUGGACAGGAUCAUCAUCACUGCCGGCGAGGACGCCACCAUUGGCAUCUGACACUCGGAGUUGUACAGGAAUCUUUGUAGAUGCUUGAGAACUUUAUACCCAUGGCAAAGGAAAUAUCCUUAGAUUGCAAUCAUAAA